Molecule: long non-coding RNA, 214 nt
Filed under: Panax ginseng (ginseng)
Lineage: Eukaryota; Viridiplantae; Streptophyta; Magnoliopsida; Apiales; Araliaceae
Description: long non-coding RNA (PGIN_LNC008178)
Source: RNAcentral
GAAGUUAUCAUAAGCUGAAAAGCCAAAUUAGGAAUAAAAACGCUACGCGAUUGAGCAGAAUGGCUUGCAAUCCUGGUUUUCUCAGAACGAGCCAUAGGUCUACAUAUCACUCAUUGGUGUUCACCCGAGUACAGGGUAUACUAGGCCAAUGAUGUCAGAUGUUCCAAGAUACACUCGGAAAUACCUGACGUAGGUCCAAUGCCGCCAAUUGAGG